CGUAGGUGGCUAAGCGUUGUCCGGAUUUAUUGGGUUUAAAGGGUGCGUAGGUGGUCUUGUAAGUCAGUGGUGAAAUACGGCAGCUCAACUGUCGAGGUGCCAUUGAUACUGCAAGACUUGAGUACAGACGAGGUAGGCGGAAUUGACGGUGUAGCGGUGAAAUGCUUAGAUAUCGUCAAGAACACCGAUAGCGAAGGCAGCUUACUAGACUGUAACUGACACUGAGGCACGAAAGUGUGGGGAUCAAACAGGAUUAGAUACCCUGGUAGUCCACACUGUAAACGAUGAUUACUCGAUGUUGGCGAUACACAGCCAGCGUCUUAGCGAAAGCGAUAAGUAAUCCACCUGGGGAGUACGCCCGCAAGGGUG
RNAcentral lists this ribosomal RNA (369 nucleotides) under uncultured organism. RNAcentral's name for it is "bacterial SSU rRNA". It matches the Rfam family "Bacterial small subunit ribosomal RNA", at positions 526 to 896 of the family's 1533-position model. The record is from RNAcentral.